This 767-nucleotide ribosomal RNA is filed under the name Knoellia sp. MZ_16. Its description in RNAcentral is "bacterial SSU rRNA". It matches the Rfam family "Bacterial small subunit ribosomal RNA", at positions 126 to 904 of the family's 1533-position model. The record is from RNAcentral. Lineage: Bacteria; Bacillati; Actinomycetota; Actinomycetes; Micrococcales; Intrasporangiaceae.
CUGCCCCUGACUCUGGAAUAAGCGCUGGAAACGGCGUCUAAUACCGGAUAUGACACGCCCUCGCAUGGGGAGCGUGUGGAAAGUUUUUCGGUCUGGGAUGGACUCGCGGCCUAUCAGCUUGUUGGUGAGGUAAUGGCUCACCAAGGCGAUGACGGGUAGCCGGCCUGAGAGGGCGACCGGCCACACUGGGACUGAGACACGGCCCAGACUCCUACGGGAGGCAGCAGUGGGGAAUAUUGCACAAUGGGCGAAAGCCUGAUGCAGCGACGCCGCGUGAGGGAUGACGGCCUUCGGGUUGUAAACCUCUUUCAGCAGGGAAGAAGCGAAAGUGACGGUACCUGCAGAAGAAGCACCGGCUAACUACGUGCCAGCAGCCGCGGUAAUACGUAGGGUGCGAGCGUUGUCCGGAAUUAUUGGGCGUAAAGAGCUUGUAGGCGGUUUGUCGCGUCUGCCGUGAAAAUCCGGGGCUCAACCCCGGACUUGCGGUGGGUACNGGCAGACUAGAGUGUGGUAGGGGAGACUGGAAUUCCUGGUGUAGCGGUGAAAUGCGCAGAUAUCAGGAGGAACACCGAUGGCGAAGGCAGGUCUCUGGGCCACUACUGACGCUGAGAAGCGAAAGCAUGGGGAGCGAACAGGAUUAGAUACCCUGGUAGUCCAUGCCGUAAACGUUGGGCGCUAGGUGUGGGACUCAUUCCACGAGUUCCGUGCCGCAGCUAACGCAUUAAGCGCCCCGCCUGGGGAGUACGGGCCGCAAGGCUAAAACUCAA